ACCAUGCCUGAGCUGGAGCAACUCAGUGUGCCCCGACCCCCCGCGGAUGCCGGCCGUAUUCAGAGGAACAUCCUUGAGGAGCAUGUCGAGCUGUGGUGGUUCAAGGACCCUAAGAAAUCCAUCUUGUGCUAUGGGGUGGCCGUGGUGCUAAUUCUGGCCUGCGGGACAGGGGGCAUUGUCCUCCUCUAUAGCACCAGUAGCCGGUCCGGGGAGUGGCGGCUGGCUGUGGGCACCACGCUCUGCCUCCUGGCCUUGCUAGUGCUGCUGAAGCAGCUGCUGAGCUCUGCUAUCCAGGACAUGAAUUGCAUCCGGAGCCGGAACCAAAUUGAGCUGCUGAAGAGUGGUGGCUUUUCGGACUGUGUGAUGCUGCUGCUUAGCGCUCUGGUUCUGCUGGUCUGUGGCGUGGUCCUCACUGUCCUCUCCACUACGACCAUGCAGCUCAGCCCCUCACGGCCUCUGGCCAGCAUGUUCUCCAGUGGAGUCAUCCUCAUGACUGCUGGGGCUGCCAUUCUACUCUGCCUCCUGCUUUAUGUGCUCAGCACCUCCUGCUGCCCAGUUGCUCCCAGGAGACUGGGCACAGGUGACAUUAGCAUCUUCACCAUCUCCAGCCGACUCGCUGUGAACCGCCGGCUUGCCACCACCUCCAGCAUGGCCAACCUGAUCUAAGGCCUGGGCAGAGCCAACAUGCCCUUCAGUAUGGCAAAUGUGCACUAACCCUGGGGCAGGGCAAGCCCAUGCCCGCCACCCUUUCAGCAGGGUCAAGCUAAUCUUAACCUGGGGAAGAGCUGAAAUUUGAGUGUUGCCUUGACCCAACUGCAGUUAUCAUUGAAAGCAGACUGGCAUUUGCACUUUACUCAGGCCAAUUGGCCUGAACCCUGGCAAAGACAAGGCAGUUCCUGAGUUGAUUUAACUGGAACUUUACAAGUAGGACACUGGUCCUAUUUUAUUUUUUACCUCAGCAAAGUCUUCUGUGGCAUUUGCUGUCCAUCCCUCUGACACACCGGGAUCCCUGCUCUGAAAGACGAAGAGGAAGUGUGCAUGUCCUGGGCCUGGCCCUGUUGAGAAGCCCUUGCUGCUCUGGGGAGAUCCUGAAGUGUUUGCUGCUAAAAUAAUCUGUUUCUCAUGUAAGAGUCUUGCACUCUACUGGCUGGCAGGGCUAUGACUGCUGGUGGUGGAGGAGUCUCCUACAGCUCUGGGGUAGAGCUGCUCCUUGGGGAUCCAAGUCCUAGCACGGAUUGUUUCCAAACAAGUUGUGCCACUGUGAGUUUGUGCACGUGUCCCUGAGACACCAAGCCUGCUGGGUGACCUGUCCCAAGCUUCCCUCCAGCAGCUGAGCAUGGAGCCAUGUCCCCACCGCUAGAAGGACUUACAUGGCUACCCCUUUGAAGCUGUGGAUGUGAUCCAGAGGGAUUUUCAAGCCGGCAAACUCACCAGUACUGCUAGGAACCUGCUAUAUGGACUUUGAAGUCUUUGUAUGUAUGUAACUGCUUUACCAUUUAACAUCUCUCUUGUUGUUCUUCCUUUUUACUUGGCUGGUAUUUUGGGUAAGAUCCAAACCUAUACUGACCUGGUAAUGUGGCUGACCCUUCUGAGGUCAGAAGAACAUUUUGCAUAUGUGAGCAGAGUUUAAAAUAACUUCUCACUAUACUGGACCUAGGUGCUGACUGGGGGCCAGAGACUGGAAUGCAGUAAAUGGGGCUGUGUGAUUUCUUUUUUUCCUUCUUGAUAAUCGGUGUGGGGGAUCAGAAGCACAGUUUGUGACUAGUUGGGAGGUUUAACUUCAGUGUUACCCAUCAGUCUUGGGAAUAUCUGCUCUCCCUUUUGCAGCCUGCCCUGACCUUGGCAUUGCCAGUGAGGGCUGCCCCAGGCACCAUGAGUCACGGACCUAACCUAGGGAAAACUGUUGGACAAAUAAGGGACUCUAACCAAUAACCUCUCUCUGAAAUGGAACUUUGAUACAUUUUGAUUAGGAUUGUUUUGCAGUUUAAGUUUCAAAAUGCUCUAUUUUGUUUUGGAUUUUUUUUCUCUGUAUUUUAAUCAAUAAUUCUCCAAAUUUUGCCAUUAAUUUUCUAGUGUGUUUGCCAUGGAACUAAGGCCGGGUCUACACUUUAAAAAUUUAUACCAGCAAAGCUAUGUCAAUUAAGGGUGUGGAGGUUUUAUGGGUAUAAGCCAAGUGUUACAUACACUUAUACCCUCAUAAAAGUGCUUUUCCAGUGUAGCUUACUCUAUUCAGGGAACUUGUAUAAGCUAUAUUGACAGAAGCACUUCUAUGUCAGUAAAGUCUUCAUCUACACUAGUAGCAGUUGCUAGUAUUGCUAUACCAGUGCGAAAAAAAACUUUUCUAGCAUAGACAAGUCCUAAGCAAGCCACGUUCUCUGUACUCAAAACACCAAACCAUGUUGUACAGUGAUGGGUCAUGUUAACACCUUUGACUCUGAGCCCAUUUAUUCCAUCAGAAUUAACACAUCUCCCGUCAAACACAAUUCACGUGAUUCUAGGAGCUGGGACUUUAAAGAAAACACCAAAUAUCGUGAGUCAUGAUAAAAUCAGGAUAGUUGGCACCAAUGCUUUCCCAGCAGUUAAUUAUGUUGGAAGAAGCCAGACUGGGAAGGCAAUUUUAAGAGUAGAAACAGACUCACUUUGAAUCCCAGCCCUAUAAUUCUCUUUCUGAAGGAAUCAUGCUAAGGGGAGAUGGCAGGCCAGAGAUGACGUCAGGAUCGCAGGGCUGUGGGAAGAGGGGAUUCCAGCUGGGGAUAGUUAGAAAUCCCUAAUGGUGUCCCUAACCCCCUAAAAUGUGGCUACUUUCUUGGUGCUAUCCAUCCUGGAAUCAGCUGAUUUUUUUCCCCAAAGGAUUAAAAGUUUCAGAACCCUUUGUUUUAAGGAGUAGUGUAUUAACCCCAGUGUUUUGGCCCAGUUCUAAUUCUGGGACUUCCAUCCUGUUCCAUGAAUCUGUUUGAUUAUUUAAUAUUUGCACAUAGCAUUCUACAGAGGAAACAAAGACAUAAGGAGUGUAACCCCCAAGGAGAUUACAUAGAUUUCUGGGACCCUGUCUGCUGGCAGCUCAGGGAGAGGCACACUGUCCCUGGCAGGGAGAGGGAGCCAAGGCAGACUCAGAGUCUGCCCAGCAACCAAUAGGCCCUCCCAGGGAGUUGAGAAAAGGGGAGAAGCCAUGUUGGAGUGAGUCUAGAGCCAGUCAGGAAAAGGGCAGGACUGGCAGUGUGGGGAGCUGGUGAGUCCCAGGCCAGGAUGCAGGGUUCCCCCUGAGAAUAGGCUUCUAGGGACCUGAUAGCAGAUCCCUCCGCUGGGAUUUUCCUUCCCCACUGAUGAUUCCCAAUUUGUAGAGUUUGCUGGGAAACUUCCCCAGCCAGGCUGAGUUCACCCUCCAGCUCCCUAGGUGAGAACAGUCACCAUAUGGUCAGCUUUGCUCUGUGUGCUAGUCCAGGGCUGCUGCCUGCGGAGUGUGUGUCUGGAGGCUGGGCUAGGAGGCUACAGUUUGGAUGUUAGUGUAGUUGUGUAACCUACUACACCAGGAGCCCUGCACCCCUUUGUGGUGAGGGGAAAUCCUGGGACUGACACAGCCUGACUCCUGCCUGAAAAGGAUCCCUGCCAGCAGAGAGCAGCCCCUCUGCAGUGACUGAGGAGUCCAGAGUCAUCUUCGAACCUGAGGAUCAUUCAUGAAGUUUGUGAGUGCACAUCUUUUAGUUAGUCAGGUAAUUUGUUUUGGGGACCCCCUACUCCCUGAACUGUGUCCUCAAGCGAGGGAGUAAGGGUUUGAGGAUUUUAUAACCUGCUGCAUAUUACACCUGUGGAGGGAUUUACCACCUUCUCCCACUUGUGAGUCCUUUGGGCUGUCAGCCACCCUGCUCAACCCAGUCAGGCACCCUGCAAAACCACUGUAAAGAAGAAUUUUGUGGUUAUAGGUCAUCAAGGGCCGCAACAAAGUACGUGUAGUAGUGGGACACUAAUUUUACAUUUGAUAUAUCAGUCAUGGGUAUUGUGACGGGGCAAGGCCAGAUGGCUAUAGAAAAGUAGUGGGAGAUAGAUAUAUUAGCUCCAGGCUAAACAAAUCCCUGGUACCAGGAUAAGUGAAAUGGCAGCUGCUCCAGGUCAAUUAAGACACCUGGGGCCAAUUAAGAACUUUCCAGAAGGCAGGGAGAAUGCUAGGUUGAUUGGGACACCUGAAGCCAAUCAGGGGCUGGCUGAAACUAGUUAAAAGCCUCCUAGUUAGCCAGGAAACGUGGAACCCAUGGAGGCAAGGACAGAGCUUUGUCACAGUAUUUUCAGAGUGGGCACCAGUGACCCUAAAAACAGUGUUUUACCCUGUUGUGUUGUAUUUGUCUCCUGUUUAAUAUAAUUAUUGUGUUGAAUAUAUUGUAUGUAUUUGUGUUAUUUCUUGGAAGUUUCCAACUAUCUGCCAAGUAAGUGUGGAUUACUCUGUAGUUAGAAUUUUCUGCCCAAGCUGCCUUGGUGACCCUGCCAGAAAAGAGCGAGGGGGGUGGAGGCACAGCCAAAUAAUUUCAUAGGAAAAAAGAAAGAAGAUACACCCUGCUGGGUGGGUGGCAGGAUCCAAAAUAAUCCAGACCUGUAAGCAGAUUGGCAUUAAAGGAGGUAACCAGGUGGAGAGGGGGUGCUACAAGAGUUUAUGCUGUUCCACAUAAAGAAAUGGAGUACUUGUGGCACCUUAGAGACUAACCAAUUUAUUUGAGCAUGAGCUUUCCCACCUGGUAACACUGGCAGGGAAGAAGGGUUUUUUCACAAAAUAAAGAGAGGAAGCUGCUUGUCUUCACCCUGCACACAGUUAAAAAAAUGUGUAUUUUAUUAGGUUGACACAUGCUUGUGCAGUUUCUACUAGGCCAAGGAUUCUCCUUUGCCUCCUGUUCUCUUAAACAGAUGGCUGUAUUUCACCCUUGAUGAAGAAUCCCCACAGAUGCAGCCUGUAAAGCCGGGACCCCUCAGGAGGAUAAUAGGCACGAGGAUAACAUCACUGUGUGUUAGAGAUAUCAUCAAACUGGUUUCAGGACUCAGCAGCCAGCUCCCACUGCAAGUGCUGGGCCUUGUAACCAGGAGGGCAGCCAAUCAAAAGGAAUAAACCCAAACAAGGUCCAGCUCUGAAGUGGAAGGAGCCGUGAGAGUGACCUGUGAGACAUGCUGUGCAGCCACACACAGUCAGGUUAAACAACAGAGCCCGUUUGGCACCACAGCCAGACAGCUUCCCAUAUGCUCCUCUUAUAACUCUCCCUGGCUUUUCCCCUCCUAUGGCUUCUGAGCUCUCAUAUGAGCUAGGAUCAGAAAGCAGGCUUGAUACACAGGUUAGUGGCUUUGUCAUGUUGAUGGGCGGUACCUCCCUCUCCAGAGCAGAGUCACUAGAGGCUGCAGAGAGACAGGAUCUCAUGGGGGAUGUUCUAGCCUUUGUCUUCUCUGUGCAAUUUCACCAGACUCAGGAGUGUCUGUGCUGGUGUGUGUCCGUCUCAAUGCUGGUCUUCUGGAGCUCUGGCUCAGGCUGGCGUGCAUGAGGCUGGUGCUGAGGGUGGGGGGUCUCUUCAUGGCCUCAUGCUAGGAGCAAAGGCUGCACCAGGCUGGCUUUCACUUUUUGCUUUAUGGCAUUUCAAAUACUGAAGCAAAGAUGUACAGAUGAGUAAAGAGCAGUUUGUUUUCAGUGCCAAGACAGACCUCCCUGCACUUUGGGUUAUACUCAAAGCCCUGGCUGGGAUGAUUUAAUUGGGGAUUGAUCCUGCUUUGAGCAGGGGGUUGGACUAGAUGACCUCCUGAGGUCCCUUCCAACCCUGAUAUUCUGUGAUUCUUCCCUAGUGUAACACCAUUGAAGUUGAUGCUGUUAGACCAGGGAUAAAAUUGGAACCUAAUAGCUUCCCAGUACGCUCUGCUCCCAUAAACUCCUCUCCCAUGCUGACCCGUUCCUCAUCACACCCUUCUCUCAUGCCACUUCUCAGCUCCUUUUUUCAUGUUGGCCCCACCCCCCAAGUUAAACAGUGGAAGCUAAAACAAGAAUAGUGAUGACUCAGUGGAGAAGGAAGGCUAGGAAUGGAGGUGGAGGUCCUGGGCUGCUGAGGGCUGAAAUGACAGGCCAGGAGUUGAAUGCCCUGGCCCCAGAAGAUGAAGAGGGACAGCUGGGAGGGGAGCAUGGGUG
Molecule: non-coding RNA, 6145 nt
Organism: Caretta caretta (loggerhead turtle)
Lineage: Eukaryota; Metazoa; Chordata; Testudines; Cheloniidae
Source: RefSeq, a predicted model, not a curated record